GACGAACGCUGGCGGCGUGCUUAACACAUGCAAGUCGAACGAUGAAGUUCCUUCGGGAAUGGAUUAGUGGCGAACGGGUGAGGAACACGUGAGAAACCUGCCUUUCAUUUUGGGAUAACUCAGGGAAACCGGGGCUAAAACCGAAAACUCCGUCUCGGCGGCACCGCUGAGCCGGGCAAAAAUUUUGAUGAAAGAUGGUCUCGCGGCCUAUCAGCUAGUUGGUGAGGUAAUGGCUCACCAAGGCAACGACGGGUAGCCGGCCUGAGAGGGCGACCGGCCACACUGGGACUGAGACACGGCCCAGACCCCUACGGGAGGCAGCAGUGGGGAAUAUUGGGCAAUGGGCGCAAGCCUGACCCAGCGACGCCGCGUGAGGGAUGAAGGCCUUCGGGUUGUAGACCUCUUUCAGUAGGGAAGAAGCGAAAGUGACGGUACCUAAAGAAGAAGCACCGGCUAACUAUGUGCCAGCCGCCGCAGUAA
Molecule: ribosomal RNA, 480 nt
Filed under: uncultured bacterium
Lineage: Bacteria
Description: partial 16S ribosomal RNA
Rfam family: Bacterial small subunit ribosomal RNA
Source: RNAcentral